Molecule: long non-coding RNA, 825 nt
Organism: Cucurbita maxima (winter squash)
Lineage: Eukaryota; Viridiplantae; Streptophyta; Magnoliopsida; Cucurbitales; Cucurbitaceae
Exons: 4
Source: RefSeq, a predicted model, not a curated record
UUUGGUGAUGUUAGGAUGUUAAAAUAGACGUACGAAAACGACGCUCUCCAGUGGCAACAGCCCCAACCCACCACAUCUCACUCAUUCCAUGCUUUUCCCUCUCUUCUCCUUGCGCCGGUUCUGCAAAAUGAGGUGACCGGGACUUUGAUGCUUUGAUUUUUGAUCCAUGGUGGCCAUUGACGAGACUGAGGUUCGAAGCAACAUCGUACACGGUGAUUUGAUUGUCUACCGGAGGAAGAAGGUCUACUUAGAGAGGGAGGCUAUUGAGUGAAGAAUUUGGAAGCAUCAGAUCCGAUAGCGCUAGUUUCUUCAUCUUCUGCUGUUAGAGAAAGUUGUGGAAGUUGGCAGCCUUUUGAAUCGUAUGUAUACAUUCAAAUAAUAUUAUUCCCGUGGAUUGGGAUGACGCUCAAAGAGCGAGAGAUAAGAGCUGAGCGGGUAUUCACUCCAUUCUUCUUCCAUUUCAUGACUACUUAACUGGACGAACUAGCAUUCAAAUCUUAAGACUAGACCCCUUCCACCAAUUUUGGGGAGCAGGACGAAACAGCUUCAGCAACUGUUAGAAAGAUAUGGUCCUCGCCAAUCAGAUUAGCAAGAUCGGAUGCAUGGAGUUUGUCAAUCACUACAGGCCCGGGGUUUGCCAAAACUAGCUGUUCAACAACACCACACAGACUUCUGGCACCCAAAAAAGGCUCUUGUUCUUCUUUCCCUGAGAUUGCAAACAUGGAAGUUCUUCAAAAGCCAAGAAUAGAAACAGGAAAAGAGCUUACGUCAAAAUUUGCACCAAGUAACAAUGCCAAGUGAGAUUCGUACAAUAUACUUGGCUAA